AGUACUUUCUGCAUUCUGUGCUCAUUAUUCAUUAUCUUUGUCCGAGUGCAUAUUUGCAAGAUAACUGAACAUUUAAUACCUGGAGACCCUAGCAUUCUUUCAUCGGUGCUCAUUUGCAUUCUCAUUAGUAUGCAUGAGAUUUUCAUUGAACUUUAGUACUCCUACUGGCACAUAAUGCACGGUAACAAGCGUAAAAGUGAGCUUACAAAUUAAGACUCCCAUUAAUCACUAAAUGUUACCACUAAAAUAAAACCGACCUAGAAUUUGCCAGCAGUAAAAUGUGGCAUGAAGCAUGUAACGCCUUGAAUCUCCACAGACAUUGAAAAUGACUGAUAUCCAUUCAAGAGCACUGCGGACAUGAGCUAAGGAAGUAACUGAGAUAAUCUAUCACUAGAUCUGGUGAUUUCGGUUUCAGUUACUGUAGGGGUAAACUGAGGCAGUCCAUGGUAUCUUGCUGAGAACUGACAACUCAAAUCCUAAAUCAUUAGACAAGCCUAGGAAUACAGCACAGCAGUUAACUUGACCCUGGUCACCCUGACAACCACAUUCUAAAAGGGCUUCACUUUGAUAAGCCCAAGUGGAAGAUUAUUCCUAUGAGGGUUGACAAGUGUUUCCUUGGCAGCACCAGAAGGAAGAAAGGAAAACAGGUCAAGUAUUAUACAAUUAUUGUUAGUUUCAAUAUGGAUCAUAUAUCAGUACUGGUGAGGAGGUGCUAUGUGCAACAGUAGAGUUAUGCUUCUUUUUAGGAUUUUUAUUCUAUGCUAUAAGGAGUGGGUUGGAAAACAGACACAGAUCUCUGUACAACAAUAAUUUGUGAUAGAGAAAGAGAUGAACUAUUUUAGUUUGCUAGUCACAUUUCUGUUCUUAAAGGGACACAGUUAAGGUUUGUCACUAUGAAAUAAAAUUGAUUAUACAAUGAGUAAAACAGAAGACCAAUGGCCAAGUGUUUCCAGCAACCAAAUAAUGCAGUGGUUUUUAUUUUAAAGGCACCAGGCCGAGAGAAAGACGACCCGGGACAGCAGCCUGCAAUAUCUGGAGCCCUGCCCAUUCUCUUACUCAAGCAGUCGUCCUCGCUUAUGGUCACUCUGCAGUAUUGCCGUCCCCCAUGCCUGUUGCUCCCCUCUGGUCAUUGCAGAGUAUAAUGGUUUCUAUCAGACCCCUCACUUUCCAUGUUAUGGGAAACAACUGGAUUCCACGGACAUUCCCAACUCCGAGUGAGGUCAUUCACCCACUCACAUACCAGAUCCUGAUACAAAGUGAAGCUGUAGGGCAUUUAUUUACUAUUUUCAGAAGUCAAUCACUAGACCACCAUGACUUCUAUCACAUAAGUCUUGGUGUCAGUCUCCUACUGGGUAGGCACUAUAUCUAGGGAUAAAAAUCUUUGUGCUGCCCAGGACAGGCAAAUUUCUCUCUCAGGUAGCGCUGACAGGGUUUUUAUAAUGUGGAAGAACACUAUCAGACAUACUAUCAUAACUAGAGCUUGUUUGUUAUGCACAGAGGCAGCAGUAUUCUGAGACAUCAAUGAAGGACUGUUUCAGCUGAUGAAUGCACUGCGCUCUCUUUCUGCUAUCUGUCCCCUGAACUGAAGAUCCUUUCAAAUACAAAUCUGAUACUCUGCAUUCAAAAUUUGUGGGAGUAGAAAAUAUGCAACUGAAGCUACAUCUGCCAAUGAAUGAGAUAGGAUGAUUGCACCUGGAAUACUUGGGAUUAGUGGUAGCUUUCAAAUAGUCAUAUGAACUCUGAAUCAUUGAAGCAUAUUUGCCUGGAGAAGAGAACUUCCAGUAAUCUCCAAUAAGCAUUGAAUUUUUAAUUGACAGACUAUCUUCUGUUUACAUUCUUUUGAGAUUUGACCUUGUACCUAAUAGUUUCCUUCUUCAGCCCUGAACUAUGACUUACUUCACUAGCGCUACUUGUCUGACCUGAAGCCAAGAUUUUCCAGGAACAAUAACUCUUUGCUUUAGCUUUUCUGUUCAGAAACUUGAUUUUAAAAACUGUUCUGGAAUAGAUGCACAAUUUUUCCUUCUGUAAAGUGAAUAUUAUGGCUACCAUGGUGUGGGAGCACAAAUAAUAUCAAAUGGCAGUGACAGAAAUUGGAUGGCAGCCUUUUUCUUUUCCCAUUUGCAAAAAACUGUCCAAAGAUGGUAAAUUAGGAGCUGACACAGGAAGCCCUUUCAUUCACUCAGCAUAUGCAAUAAAAAGCUGUAAGGACUUGCAAAAUGGUUUCGUCCUAUCUAUAUAGAACGCUAAGGCUUGCUUCAUGUCCAGGGAAUGUAACGCCUGCUCCUUAGGGGAGCGCUGCAGUUUGGGAAAGAAAACUGGGAGGUAUGUGUCCUGGGACAUAUGGAAGGCCAACACCACUUUCGGGAGAAACACCGAGUGGGGGCGUAACCCGACCCUAUCUCUUGAAAAGACUAAGUAGGGAGGCUCCAUAGUUAGGGCAUGGAGCUCCGAUACCCUCCGCGCCGACAUAAUGGCUACUAGAAACGCCACCUUAAAGUUCAGAUACUUAAGGGGGCAGGCACCCAAUGGCUCAAAGGGAGACCCUAUGAGCUUGGUCAGCACCAAAUUAAAGUCCCACUGAGGAACAGGGACCCUGACAUGGGGAAACAACUUUUCUAAACCUUUAAGGAACUGCUUAACCAGGGGGUCUGUGAAUAAUGAGCCGCCCUCAGAGCCGUCGUGGAAGGCUGUUAAAGCCGUCAGAUGCACCCGAAUCGAGAGAGCAGGCAGUCCCAUGCGGUGCAAACUAAACAAAUAGUCCAGGACCAUAGGAACAGGGGCCCGAGAGGGGCAAACCCCCUUUUCUGCAGCCCAGACCGAGAAGCGUUUCCACUUAGCUGCAAAGGCCCUCCUGGUAGUUGGCUUCCUACUGCCCAGGAGAACCUCCCACACCACCUGCGAGCACGCCCUUUCGGGGGCCUUCAGCCAUGGACAAGCCAAGCUGUCAGGUGGAGGGACUGGACAUCCGGGUGAUACAGGAUGCCCCCUUCCCUGGCCUGCGUGAUCAGGUUCCAGGUCAGUGGUAGGCAAAGUGGCCUGACCACCACCAUUUCCAGCAGAAUGGGAGAUCAGAACUGCCUGGGCCAGUCUGGAUCCACCAGAAUUAUUAGUAACCUGAACAGCCUGAUCCUGGUGAGCACCUUGGGAACCAGGGGGAAUGGCGGGAACACAUGUAGCUUCCCCCGAGGCCACGGUGAAGUUAGGGAGUCUCCCUUCGAGCCCGCCCCCAAGCCCAGGAUGGAG
Non-coding RNA from Pelodiscus sinensis (Chinese soft-shelled turtle), 3243 nucleotides. NCBI's taxonomy places the organism in Eukaryota, Metazoa, Chordata, Testudines, Trionychidae. The record is from RefSeq and is a predicted model, not a curated record.